UACGUAGGGUGCAAGCGUUAAUCGGAAUUACUGGGCGUAGAGCGUGCGCAGGCGGUUGUGCAAGACCGAUGUGAAAUCCCCGGGCUCAACCUGGGAACUGCAUCCGAAACUGCCUUGCUCGAGUAUGGGAGAGGGAAGUGGAAUUUCCGGUGUAGCGGUGAAAUGCGUAGAUAUCGGAAGGAACAUCAGUGGCGAAGGCGACUUCCUGGACCAAUACUGACGCUCAGGUGCGAAAGCGUGGGGAGCAAACAGG
RNAcentral lists this ribosomal RNA (253 nucleotides) under uncultured bacterium. Its description in RNAcentral is "partial 16S ribosomal RNA". It matches the Rfam family "Bacterial small subunit ribosomal RNA", at positions 524 to 776 of the family's 1533-position model. The record is from RNAcentral.